UACGUAGGGUGCAAGCGUUGUCCGGAAUUAUUGGGCGUAAAGAGCUCGUAGGCGGUUUGUCGCGUCUGCUGUGAAAACUCGGGGCUUAACUCCGGGCCUGCAGUGGGUACGGGCAGACUAGAGUGCGGUAGGGGAGACUGGAAUUCCUGGUGUAGCGGUGAAAUGCGCAGAUAUCAGGAGGAACACCGGUGGCGAAGGCGGGUCUCUGGGCAAUAACUGACGCUGAGGAGCGAAAGCGUGGGGAGCGAACAGG
Molecule: ribosomal RNA, 253 nt
Filed under: uncultured bacterium
Lineage: Bacteria
Description: partial 16S ribosomal RNA
Rfam family: Bacterial small subunit ribosomal RNA
Source: RNAcentral